Molecule: ribosomal RNA, 227 nt
Filed under: uncultured bacterium
Lineage: Bacteria
Description: partial 16S ribosomal RNA
Rfam family: Bacterial small subunit ribosomal RNA
Source: RNAcentral
GAUCAUGGCUCAGGAUGAACGCUAGCUUCAGGCUUAACACAUGCAAGUCGAGGGGCAGCAUGGUCUUAGCUUGCUAAGGCUGAUGGCGACCGGCGCACGGGUGAGUAACACGUAUCCAACCUGCCGUCUACUCUUGGCCAGCCUUCUGAAAGGAAGAUUAAUCCAGGAUGGGAUCAUGAGUUCACAUGUCCGCAUGAUUAAAGGUAUUUUCCGGUAGACGACGGGGA